CCUACGGAGUGCAGCAGUGGGGAAUAUUGGUCAAUGGGCGGAAGCCUGGACCAGCCAAGUAGCGUGCAAGAUGACGGCCCUACGGGUUGUAAACUGCUUUUAUACGGGAAUAACGCGCCUUACGUGUAGGGCUUUGCAUGUACCGUAUGAAUAAGGACCGGCUAAUUCCGUGCCAGCAGCCGCGGUAAUACGGAAGGUCCGGGCGUUAUCCGGAUUUAUUGGGUUUAAGGGGAGCGUAGGCCGCAUGUCAAGCGUGCUGUGAAAUGUCCGGGCUCAACCCGGGCCUUGCAGCGCGAACUGGCGUGCUUGAGUCCGCGGAAAGCAGGCGGAAUUCGUCGUGUAGCGGUGAAAUGCUUAGAUAUGACGAAGAACCCCGAUUGCGAAGGCAGCUUGCUGCAGCGGAACUGACGCUGAUGCUCGAAAGCGCGGGUAUCGAACAGGAUUAGAUACCCCAGUAGUC
Molecule: ribosomal RNA, 460 nt
Filed under: uncultured bacterium
Lineage: Bacteria
Description: partial 16S ribosomal RNA
Rfam family: Bacterial small subunit ribosomal RNA
Source: RNAcentral